This 93-nucleotide ribosomal RNA is filed under the name Aeromonas hydrophila. RNAcentral also lists the same sequence under 7 other names. The record is from RNAcentral. Lineage: Bacteria; Pseudomonadati; Pseudomonadota; Gammaproteobacteria; Aeromonadales; Aeromonadaceae.
AACCACCUGAUCCCAUGCCGAACUCAGAAGUGAAACGCGGUAGCGCCGAUGGUAGUGUGGCAUUCGCCAUGCGAGAGUAGGACACUGCCAGGC